GAUCUGGAGAAAUGAACGUCUCUGUAACCAAUGGUCAGAAUGUUCAUCUUGACACCAGCCCCCGGCAAAUGAUGUUGUAUGAGCUCGAGCUGUCCACCAUUCAGCCUUCCAUUGCCCACAGUGACCAGGACAAAGCAUGAGUUGGAUCAAAUUUCAAACCAUCAGAUUUCAAACCAAUCUUAGCCUUACUGCACACAAAUAAUUAAAGCUGCGAUCGUCAAAACGUUAUGUCUACUUGUGGAAUGGAACUAAGUGCACAAAAGUGUAGAGGGGAAAUAAUACCACAUGCUGCCUGUCUUAACAUUGUUUUUCUUGUAAUUAUUCAUCCUCACCAUGGUAUCCAGUGAAGGUUAACAUGUUUGGAUUGUGGGGAAAGCUAUUUUGCCCCUUCCUACAAAACUUAUAAGAAAUUAAUAUCUUUAGUUUAAUGUUUUGCUGGUGAGCAUGACACAGGCCAAUGAUCCCAAUAACUGUCCAUAAUCCACUUUGACUUAUUUUGUCUUAUGCAGUGGAGGUCUAAUAUUUACAAAAGACACUUCCUAGCAGCUGCUCCAGUAUAAGAAGCACAAAUGUAGAGGGUACUGGAUCUGAUUACCUGAACUUAAUGCCAGAUGAUUGCCUGAAGUAGAAAUGCAUAUAGUCUGUCAAGCUUUGAUAAAGAACAGCAAUGUUGAAAAUUGGAACUUGUUUGUGUAAACGGAUUUGAUUUUCAGAAGGUUUAAAAAAAUUUUAGAGCUUUCACAGAAUUGGCUGAGGGCAACCAAUGGUUCUUGUGGAUGAUGAGGUAUGUUGAAUAUGCAUCCUGGAAGAGACCCAGUUUUCUGUGGACCUCCUGACUCAAACUGUCUGCAGCUGUUUCUCUAGUUAGUUAUUUUAAGUCUAUUCCCCUUACAGUAGAUCUAGAAUAUUUGGACUUGCCAGACCAGAAUGAUACUACAACUUGGAAGGUUAAGUUAUGAGGGCCAGUCACAUGUUAUAACUAUAUAUUGUUUAUUAAUGUGACUAGGCUUUUAUUUCCUGGUGACCUAGUGCUGCUGCUUAAUUGACGUAGUACGUUCAAACUGACAACAUAGGUACACAGAGUCAAACAGAAUGUAAAUGCUUGAAAGGUUAAAUUACAAAGCUAGAUUGGACAACGAUGGCUUAUUUUCCCUUGUGUUAAACAUGAUGAGGUGAUUUAUUGGAGGUGUCCAAAAUGACAAAGGAAUUCACUUGGGUAUAGAGAAACAGUGGUUCAAGUAUCCAGUACAAUGGGUUUUAACUGUAAAGUUAGUGCUAGGCUGUUCAGAAGUCCGAUCAGUAAGAGAUUCUCAAACAAAAUUUCAUGAAGGGCUGAAAUUCUCACCUCGCCAGAAAGUUGUGAUUUCUGGGGGUCAUCUGGAGCUUUCCAGACUGAGAACUCUGUAUUUUUGCUGGAUAAGAUAUUGAGGAUAAGAUAGAGCCAUGCUCCGUUAAUGGAGUUAAGGUGUUUAUCAGCGUUGUUCCAACUAAAUGGUGAAAUAGGCUUGUAAGGUUGAAUAGUUUCACACAAUGUUUGGUAUAGUUGGUUCAGUUAAAACAAUUUUAAUAAACAAGAAUCUGUUCUAAGUAUUGAUUGGCCCCACCGCUGCUGUCUGCCAUGGUUUCUUGAGUGAGUUGCUGAAAUGUUCCACCAGAACAUUCAAACUAGGAUUUGCAAGGCUUGCUCAUUGAGUUUGUUAUUAAGAUGUGGACAUUAAGGCUUCAUUGAAGGCUCAUUUAGUAAUGGUAGUGCACAAUGAACAGAAAGCCACAGUGUGGUCCCUUGAUUGGCUAAUCUCAGUAAAAUCAACAGAAGAACUCCAAGUUGACUUCAUUGCUUCUUGGAUUAAGAUGGGGAGUCGAUGCAAUGGGAAAUGAACCAGGAGGCCAUAUUUCUGAUUGAUGAACAUUUGUUCCCUGUUUCUGAUUGCCACCCAAGAAUUCCUGAAUUUAGGAAUUUGGGUGUGUGCAGACGUCAUAUGAGAGCAGCAAUGGGCUCAGUGUCUCUCCACUAAGCAACCUGUUGCCCUGUAAUGUCUGAGUUCUCUGGUGGGAAAGUUACUGCUGCAUGGCCUAUUUCUUGAGAGAAGAAAGCAUGAGCAGAUAUUGGACCUAAGUAGCAGCUUUUCAAUGAUUAUAGUGCACCUGCCUCAGCCACAGAAUAACAAGCACUCCACGCAGUCCAGUGCACCCCACUAAGUGAUGCAGCACACAUUCCCCUCUCUGUGAUGCUGUACACCUGUUUUAUGUACUACAGACAGCACAUGGUAUAGGUGCACCUGAACUCAAACUGCUUAUUAAAUAUAAGCAGCUUUUUUUUAGUAUUGAAGGAGAAGAUUAAACAUUGUAGAAAACACACUUGUACGCAUGCCAUUGGUUCAGUGAAAACUGUAAAUCAUGUUUGAUAUUUUUGAAGAGGUUAGAUGGCUUGAGCUCAAAAACAUGUUCUCAGUUCAUUUAAUUGCAUUUAGCAUCAUUAAAGCCACAUACAAAACUUCCUUGCCAUUUCUAAUAUGGCAGCUUGUUCAUUAUAAUUUUAUUUAUGCUAAUUAUACAUAAUCUGAUAUUUUUAUUAAAAGAUCAAUGCAAACUAUGGCAAUUUUGCACUUUUAUGUUAAAAAUAUUUUUGCACAAUGUAUUUAGUGAAUUACUGCAUUGCCACAUUUAGUUCUCAGUGUAAAUUAUCUUGAUCUCAUUGCCAUACGAAUCUGUGCAGAAGAGGAACUCCGCAAUUGACUUCACCUUCCAUAAUAGAGAAAAUUAGACAGCAUUCCUGAUCACUAUCCAGUGAACCAUGCCAGGAAGUGUUCAUGUGUUGUGUUGUGCAAAGAGAGAGAUCUUCCAUGUUUCGAAGUCUCCCAGCACAGAAAAAUGAUCUAAUGAGGCAGAGGUGAUUUGCUGGUAGCAGAAGAAUUUGUACAUUUCCCCAUCCUAUGCCAUCUGCCCCCACUCCCAACCCAAUGACAGUCAGUAAUCUUGAAAGGUAAAGAAGAAAAUUAUGGGAUGAGGAACCCUAGCUAUUUACAUUGAGAAACUUGUACAUGAUGGGUGUUUUCUUUUAGCCACAAGCCACCUGUAUUGUUAAAUUAAAGCAGAAAGUGCUGGAAAAAAACUCAGCAGGUGGGGAGAAAGCAGAGUUAACAUUUCAGGAUCAGUGACCCUUCUUCAGAACUGAUUGUAGCUAGGAAAAGAUUGACAUACAUGCUGAAGAUGUGAUGGGAGGAAGUAGAUGUCGAUGGAGCCCAGAGAGAGAGAGAAAACCACAGUUGGGCAAACAAAGCAAGGGCAAAAAUCAGCCUGGGAGAAUCAAUAGCUGCUAAUGGGAGCCAUUAGUAGCUGACAUUGAACUGGCUAUGGUGGCAAUCCCUGUGAUGACAAGGUCUGUUUGGAGGGAGGACAUGGGUGAAGCUUCCUGUUGACUGCCACUUCAACACACCACCAUGUUCCCUGGCCAACAUCUCUGUUUCAGGCUUGCUACAGGGCUCCAACGAAGCUCAGCAAAAGCUGGAAGAACAACAUCUCAUUUUCUGCUUUGGGGACCUUGCAGCCUUCAGGACUCAAUAUCGAGACCAAUAAUUUUAGGGCCUGAACAUCUUUUCCCAUGCCUUAGUUUUUCCAGCAAUUUGUUUUUGUUUCUGAUUACCAACAUCCGCAGUUUUUUUUGUGUGUGGCUGAAUUGUUCAAUGUGACUGAAGUUAUGUUAUUUUAUGUAAACUUAAUAGAAAGUAAUGAAAAUCACUUGAGAGAAUGACACAUAAAAUAUUCACCCCACCUUCAAUGUCCACAAUUGCUGGAGUGAUUUAUUUCAUUCUGCCCAAACUGUGUCCAGUUAGUGCUUGAAUUUUUGAACAGGGACCAGGAAUUUGUAAUUCUCCCCCUGUGCUAUAACAUUCAGCCCACUUGCUUACCAAGCUUAGCUUUCCUUCCUCUCAUCCCCCAUGCCAGAAAACAAAUUGCUUGCCAGUUACUAGCACUGGCAUUUAUGUGAUGAAAUGGGAUUUUAUUUGGAUGAAACUAAUGUCAAAAUGUAUUGUGGCUACCUCAUUGUAUUGAAGGAAUUGAUGUAUAAAUAAAAGAUGUGAUUAACAAUGA
Non-coding RNA from Chiloscyllium plagiosum (whitespotted bambooshark), 4092 nucleotides. Lineage: Eukaryota; Metazoa; Chordata; Chondrichthyes; Orectolobiformes; Hemiscylliidae. The record is from RefSeq and is a predicted model, not a curated record.